This 236-nucleotide long non-coding RNA is filed under the name Capsicum annuum. RNAcentral describes it as "long non-coding RNA (CANN_LNC019842)". The record is from RNAcentral. Lineage: Eukaryota; Viridiplantae; Streptophyta; Magnoliopsida; Solanales; Solanaceae.
UGACAUGUAGAGCCCUUAGCCAUAAACUCUGCAACAUCUUUCUUCAUCAUAAUCCAACAAUAGAUCUCUCACAAGUCGCGGUACAUCUUAGUGGCCCCUGGAUAAAUAGAGUAGUACAUACCAUGCGCUUCUUCAAGAAUUUUCUACCUUAAGUCAUCUACACCUAGAACACAGAGACGACCCUGAAUAUGCAAUACGCAAUCUCCUCCUUGGGAAAAACUUCUACUUUCUGAUCU